AGAUUGAACGCUAGCGGCAUGCCUAACACAUGCAAGUCGAACGGUAACAGGCCCUUCGGGGUGCUGACGAGUGGCGGACGGGUGAGUAAUGCGUAGGAAUCUACCCACGAUGGGGGAUAGCCCGGAGAAUCCGGAUUAAUACCGCAUAUGCCCUACGGGGUAAAGACGGGGGAGUCGUAAGGCCGUCGCGCUGAAGGAGCGGCCGAUGUCCGAUUAGCUAGUUGGUGAGGGUAAAGGCUUACCAAGGCGACGAUCGGUAGCUGGUCUGAGA
This 271-nucleotide ribosomal RNA is filed under the name uncultured prokaryote. RNAcentral's name for it is "partial 16S ribosomal RNA". It matches the Rfam family "Bacterial small subunit ribosomal RNA", at positions 26 to 297 of the family's 1533-position model. The record is from RNAcentral.